AUUUUUAACAAGAUUUGUCAAUUGAAAAGUAUUCAGUUCUAAUGGGACAUGAGGUACUACUACUGCACUUGACUCUGCUACUUUAAGGUAAUAAUAUCUUAUCAUUCUAUGAAUUUUUAAAUUUAAUAUUUGAUAUAACUGAAAACAUAGAGAAAAAGAAGGGUGGCUGGCUGUAAAAGAGUAUUGGAAUUUGAAUUCGGAGGUUGGAGAUUUGGAGAGAGAGAGAAGGGAGAGAGUAGGUCUAGGUGUCUAGGUAGUAGAUUAUUUAUUUUUAUAGGUUCUAAAUAUAUAUUUAUAUAUUUAUAUUUAUUAUAAAUAUCUACAUAUUUAUUUAUAUACAAUAAGAGUAGUGUAAUUAAGAGUAACAUAAAUUAUAAACAAUUGAAAUCAAAUUAGUACAACAAAAAAGUUCAUCAGUGCACAGUAGUUGCUGAUCCAAAAAUCAACAACAUAAAAUAACAUGUUGUUUCAAGAAUUCCAAAAAGCACCACAAAGUAACAUGUUUCAAGCAUUCCAAAAAGUAACAACAAAGUAUUAUAGGUCUAAAUAUAUAUUUAUAAGGAGCAAGGAUCAAGAGCAUUCCCCUUAAAUAGCAUUCCUCCUUAAAUAGCACUCCUUUAUUAAAACUACGUCGUUUUGGAGUCUUUUAAAAGAGAGUGGUCUCACUUGCUUUUCUUUUAUUUACACAAAUGUCACCCACGACCCCCACUUUUUUCUUUUAAAAGACUCUAAAAUGACGUAGUUUUAAUAAAGGAGUGCUAUUUAAGGAGAAAUGCUAUUUAAGGGGAAUACUCUUGAUCCUUGCUCUAUUUAUAUGUAUUAUAUAUAUUAUAUUUAUAUACAAUAAUAUGUAUUUAUAUAUAUACAAUAAUAGAGUACUCUGACUACUAAUUAAGAGUAACAUAAAUUAUAAACAAUAAAAAUUAAAUUAAUAGUAUAAAAAAGUCCAUCAGUGCACAGUAGUUGUUGAUCCAAAAAGCAACUGCAUAAAAUAACAGUUUUUUUAAGUAUUCAAAAAAGCAACAACAUAAACCAAAAAGUUGUUUCAAGCAUUCCAAAAAAGUAACAGUAUAAAGUAACAGGUAUUCAAAAUGCAACAACAUAAAGUAACAUGUGAUUGCAAAUAAAUGUUGUUAUUUCUAUUAUGGAUUCGUUUAUGGUUGUGUAUGGAUUGUUUAACAUAUGAGCAAAAUGUGGUUAGACAUUGCUUUGAAAUACAAUAAUUAUUUUUGUUGGUUCAACAUGAAUGUAUUUUGUUGAUUGUAGUUAUUGAUUAAAACUACCUAUAAUAAUCAUUCCUUAGUAAGAAUUGUGGAUGAGGUUUUAUGUAUUUAUUUUGUUUGUCUCAAUAUGGUUGUGUUGAAUGAAAAUUUUGUAAUGUAAAAUUCACUUUUAAUGCAAGGAGCACAUUGUUCCUGGAAUGUUAAGUGAAAAUUUUGAAAUGUAUUCAUUUGAUUGGAAGUAUAUAGAGAUUUGAUUGGACGGAAUUGGUUCAUUGUUGAUAUUUGUAAAUAUUGUUCAAUUUAAAAAGUAUUUAGUUCCAAUGGGACAUGAGGUACUACUUAUCUUAUUAGUUUUUUUUACACUUAUUUGUUUAAACUGAGUAAACAGGUUUGGAAAGAACAACACCAGCUUGUACCAUAACAUGGAAGCACCGCUCCACUUGACUAUCCUACUUUAAGGUAAAAAUAUCUUAUCAUUCUAUAAAUUUUUAAAUUUAAUAUUUGAUAUUACUGCAAAAAUAGAGAAAAGAAGGGUGGAUGUAAGAGUGUUAUUGGAAGGUUGGAGAUUUGGAGAGAGAGGGAAGGUACGGUAGGUCUAAGACUAGGUUUAGGUCAUAGAUUAUUAUUUUUAUAGGUUCUAAAUAUAUAUAUAUAUUUAUAUUUAUUAUAAAUUUUUAUAUAUAUGUGUUUAUAUACAAUAAUAGAGUACUCUGACUACUAAUUAAGAGUAGCAUAAAGUAUAAACAAUAAAAAUCAAAUUAAUAAUACAAAAAAGUCCAUCAGUGCGCAGUAGCUGUUGAUCCAAAAAGAAACAACAUAAAAUAACAAUUUUUUCAAGUAUUCAAAAAAGCAACAGCAUAAAGCAGCAAGUUGUUUCAAGCAUUCUAAAAAGCAACAACAUAAAGUAACAGAUAUUUUCAAAUAUUUUAAAAAGCAACAACAUAAAGUAACAGGUAUUUUUAAGCAUUCCAAAAAUUAACUACAUAAAGUAAAAGGUGAUUGCAAACUAAUGUUGCUAUUUCUAUUAUAGAUUCGUUUAUGGGUGUAUGUAUUGUUUAACAUAUGAGCAAAGUGUGGUUGGACAUUGGUUUGGAAUACAAUAAUAAUUUUUGUCGGUUCAACAUGAUUGUGUUUUGUUGAUUGUGGUUACUGAUUAAAAAUACCUAUAAUAAUCAUUACUUGGUAAGAAUUGUGGAUGAGGUUUUAUGUUGUGUUGAAUGAAGAUUUUUGUAAUGUAAAAUUCACUUUUAAUGUAAGGAGCACGUUGUUUUUGGGAUGGUUAAGUGAAAUUUUUGAAAUGUAGAAUUCACUGUUAAUAUAAGCUGGAAGAUUGGAAGUAUAUAAAGAUUCGAUUGGACGGAAUCGGUUCACUGUUGAUAAAAGCUUUUUGCACCAAAGGUAUUAUUACUAAAAGUAGAAUUUGUCUUUUUGUGCUUUUGACUGAAUGAUGAUAUAUAGUAUUGAAUGUAUUAACUUUUUGGGAAUUUUUUUUGUAGGUUAUUAUACUGAUUUUUGCAAGAUUGCUCAAUUUAAAAAGUAUUCAGUUCCAAUGGGACAUGAGGUACUACUUAUCUUAUUAGUUUUUUUUAUAUACUUAUGUGUUCAAACUGAGUAAACAGGUUUGGAAAAAACAACACCAACUUGUACCGGAACAUGAAAGCACUGCUCCACUUGACUCUCCUACUUUAAGGUAAAAAUAUCUUAUCAUUCUAUGAAUUUUUAAAUUUAAUAUUUGAUAUAAUUGCAAAAAUAAAAAGAGAAGGGUGGAUGUAAGAGAGUUAUUGGAUUUUGAAUUUGGAGGUUGGAGAUUUAGAGGGAGAUGGAAGGGAUGGUAGGUCUCUAGGUCUAGGUCAUAGAUUAUUAUUUUUAUAGGUUAUAAAUAUAAAUUUGUAAGUAUUAUAUAAAUUUAUAUUUAUUAUAGAUAUCUCUCUCUCUCUCUCUCUAUAUAUAUAUAUAUAUAUAUUUAUAUACAAUAAUAGAGUACUCUCACUACUAAUUAAGAGUAGCGUAAAUUAUAAAAAAUAAAAAUCAAAUUAAUACUACAAAAAAGUCCAUCAGGGCACAAUAGUUGUUAAUCCAAAAAGCAACAACAUAAAAUAACAGUUUUUUCAAGUAUUCAAAAAAGCAACAGCAUAAUAAAGCAACAAGUUGUUUCAAGCAUUUCAAAAAGCAACAGCAUAAAGUAACAUGUAUUCAAAAUGCAACAUCAUAAAGUAACAAGUAUUUUCAAGCAUUCUAAAAAUCAACUAUAUAAAGUAACAUGUGAUUGCAAACAAAUGUUGCUAUUUUUAUUAUGGAUUCGUUUAUGUUUAUGGUUGUGUAUGGGUUGUUUAACAUAUGUGCAAAGUGUGGUUAGGCAUUGGUUUGAAAUACAAUAAUUAUUUGUUGGUUCAGCAUGAUUGUGUUGUGUUGAUUAUGGUUACUGAUUAAAAUUACCUAUAAUAAUCAUUGCUUAGUAAGAAUUGUGGAUGAGGUUUUAUGUAUUUAUUUUGUUUGUCUCAAUAUGGUUGUGUUGAAUGAAGAUUUUGUAAUGUAAAAUUCACUUUUAAUGUAAGGAGUACAUUGUUCCUGGGAUGGUUAAGUAAAAUUUUUGAAAUGUAGAAUUCACUUUUAAUGUAAGCUGAAGAUUGGAUGGAAGUAUAUAGAGAUUCGAUUGGACGGAAUCGGUUCAUUGUUGAUAUUUGCAAGCAUGAAAAGCUUUUUGUACCAAAGGUAUUAUUACUAAAUGUAGAAUUUGUCCUUUUGAUUGAAUGAUAUAUAGUAUUGAUGCAAAUAUAUUUACUUUUUUUGGGAAUUUUUUGUAGGUUAGUAUACUGAUUUUUGCAAGAUUGCUCAAUUUAAAAAGUAUUUAGUUCUAAUGGGAUAUGAGGUCGUUAUUACUUAUCUUAUUAGUUUUUUUACACUUAUGUGUUUAAACUGAAUAAACAGGUUUGGAAAGAACAACAGCAGCUUGUACUGCUACAUGGAAGUAGCGCUCCGCUUGACUUUCUUACUUUAAGGUAAAAAUAUCUCAUCAUUCUAUAAAUUUUUAAAUUUAAUAUUUGUUAUAGCUGCAAAAAUAGAGAAAAAAAAGGGUGGAUGUAAGAGAGAGAUUGGAUUUUGAAUUUGAAGGUUGAAGAUUUGGAGAGAGAGGGAAGGGAGGGUAGGUCUCUAGGUCUAGGUCAUAUAGAUUAUUAUUUUUAUAGGUUCUAAAUAUAUAUUUAACAAGUAUUAUAUAUAUUUAUAUUUAUUAUAAAUAUCUAUAUAUAUGUGUGUGUGUGUGUGUGUGUGUGUGUGUAUUUAUAUGCAAUAAUAGAGCACUCUGACUACUAAUUAAGAGCAACAUAAAUUAUAAACAAUAAAAAUCAAAUUAAUAGUACAAAAAGGUCCAUUAGUGCACAAUAGCUGUUGAUCCAAAAAGCAACAACAUAAAAUAACAGUUUUUUCAAGUAUUCAAAAAAGCAACAACAUAUAGUAGCAAGUUGUUUCAAGCAUUUCAAAAAGUAACGGCAUAAAAUAACAUGUAUUUUCAAAUAUUUCAUAAAGCAAUAGCAUAAAGUAACAGGUAUUUUCAAGCAUUCCAAAAAUUAAUCAACUACAUAAAGUAACAGGUGAUUACAAACAAAUGUUGCUAUUUCUAUUAUAGAUUCGUUUAUGGUUGUGUAUGGGUUGUUUAACAUAUGUGCAAAGUGUGGUUAGACAUUGGUUUGAAAUCAAAUAAUUAGUUUUGUUGGUUCAGCAUGAUUGUGUUUUGUUGAUUGUGGUUAUUGAUUAAAACUACCUAUAAUAAUCAUUACAUAAUAAGAAUUGUGGAUGAGGUUUUAUGUAUUUAAUUUGUUUGUCUCAAUAUGUUUGUGUUGAAUGAAAAUUUUGUAAUGUAAAAUUCACUUUUAAUGUGAGGAGCACAUUGUUCCUGGGAUGGUUAAGUGAAAAUUUAGAAAUGUAGAAUUCACUGUUAAUGUAAGAUGAAUAUUAGAAGUAUAUCGAUUCAAUUGGACGGAAUCGGUUCAUUGUUGAUAAUGCAAACAUGAAAAGCUUUUUCCACUAAAGGUAUUAUUACUAAAUGUAGAAUUUUUCCUUUUGUGCUUUUGACUGAAUGAUAUAUAGUAUUGAUGCAAAUGUAUUAACUUUUUGGGAAUUUUUUUUGUAGGUUAUUUUAAACUGAGUAAACAGGGUUGGAAAGAAAAUCACUAGUGGAACAUGGAAGCAAUGCUCUACUUGACUCACCUACUUUAAGGUAAAAAAUAUCUUAUCAUUCUAUGAAUUUUUAAAUUUAAUAUUUUAUAUAACUGCAGAGAAAAAGAAGGGUGGAUAUUGGUUUUUGAAUUGAAUUUUGAAUUUGGAGGUUGGAGAUUUAUAGAGAGAGGGAAGUGAGGGUAGGUCUAGAACUAGGUCUAGGUCACAGAUUAUAUUUUUUAUAGGUUCUAAAUAUAUAUAUUAUAUAUAUUUAUAUUUAUUAUAAAUAUUUAUAUAUAUGUAUUUAUCUACAAUAAUAGAGUACUAUGACUAUUAAUUAAGAGUAGCAUAAAGUAUAAACAAUAAAAAUCAAAAUAAUAGUACAAAGAAGUCUAUCAUUGCGUAAUAGUUUUUGAUCCAAAAGGCAACAGCAUAAAAUAACAGUUUUUUCAAGUAUUCAAAAAAUUAGCAACAACGUUAACAUAAAGCAGCAAGUUGUUUCAAGCAUUCUAAAAAGCAACAACAUAAACUAACAGGUAUUUUCAAAUAUUUCAAAAAGCAACAGCAUAAAGUAACAGGUAUUUUCAAGCAUUCCAAAAAUUAAUCAACUACAUAAAGUAACAGGUGAUUACAAACAAAUGUUGCUAUUUCUAUUAUAGAUUCGUUUAUGGUUGUGUAUGGGUUGUUUAACAUAUGUGCAAAGUGUGGUUAGACAUUGGUUUGAAAUCAAAUAAUUAGUUUUGUUGGUUCAGCAUGAUUGUGUUUUGUUGAUUGUGGUUAUUGAUUAAAACUACCUAUAAUAAUCAUUACAUAAUAAGAAUUGUGGAUGAGGUUUUAUGUAUUUAAUUUGUUUGUCUCAAUAUGUUUGUGUUGAAUGAAAAUUUUGUAAUGUAAAAUUCACUUUUAGUGUGAGGAGCACAUUGUUCCUAAGAUGGUUAAGUGAAAAUUUAGAAAUGUAGAAUUCACUGUUAAUGUAAGAUGAAGAUUAGAAGUAUACAGAUUCAAUUGGACGGAAUCGGUUCAUUGUUGGCAAACAUGAAAAGCUAUUUCAACCAAAGGUAUUAUUACUAAAUGUAGAAUUUUUCCUUUUGUGCUUUUUGACUGAAUGAUAUAUAGUAUUGAUUGGUAUUAUAACUUUUUGGGAAUUUUUUUUGUAGGUUAUUUAAACUGAGUAAACAGUUUUGGAAAGAAAACCACUAGUUUGUACUGGAACAUGGAAGCAAUGCUCCACUUGAUUCUCCUUACUUUAAGGUAAAAAUAUCUUAUCAUUCUAUGAAUUUUUAAAUUUAUUUAAUAUUUUAUUUAUAUAACUGCAAAGAAAAAGAAGAGUGAAUAUAAGAGAGUUAUUGGAUUUUGAAUUUAGAGGUUAGAGAUUUAUAUAGGGAAGGGAGGGUAUCUCUAAGUCUAGGUUAUAUAGAUUAUUAUAUUUAUAGGUUCUAAAUAUAUAUUUAUAUUUAUUAUAAAUAUAUAUAUAUAUAUAUAUGUAUUUAUUUAUAUAUAAUAAUAGAGUACUCUGACUACUAAUUAAGAGUAACGUAAAUUAUAAAUAAUAAAAAUCAAAUUAAUACUACAAAAAGGUCUAUCAGUGCACAAUAGUUGUUAAUCCAAAAAGCCAGCACAAAAUAACAAUUUUUUCAAGUAUUCAAAAAAGCAACAACAUAAAGCAAUAAGUUAUUUCAAGUAUUCCAAAAAGAAACAGUAUAAAGUAACAAGUAUUCAAAAUACAACAACAUAAAGUAACAGGUAUUUUCAAGCAUUCUAAAAAUCAAUUACAUAACGUAACAUGUGAUUGCAAACAAGUGUUGCUAUUUCUAUUUGUGUAUGGGUUGUUUAACAUAUAUGCAAAGUGUGGUUAGGCAUUGAUUGUGCUGUGUUGAUUGUGGUUACUGAUUAAAACUACAUUUAAUAAUCAUUACUUGGUAAGAAUUGUGGAUGAAGUUUAAUGUAUUUAUUUUGUUUCUCUCAAUAUGGUUGUGUUGAAUGAAGAUUUUGUAAUGUAAAAUUCACUUUUAAUAUAAGGAGCACAUUUGUUCCUCAGAUGGUUAAGUGAAAUUUUUGAAAUGUAGAAUUCAUUGUUAAUGUAAGUUGAAGAUUUGACGUAUAUAGAGAUUCGAUUGGACGUAAUCGGUUCAUUGUUGAUAUUUGCAAGCAUGAAAAGCUAAAUUGCACCAAAGGUAUUAUUAUUAAAAGUAGAAUUUGUCCUUUUGUGCUCUUGACUGAAUGAUAUAUAGUAUUGAUGCAAAUGUAUUAACUUUUUGGGAAAAAAAUUUAGGUUAUUAUACAGAUUUUUGCAAAAUUGCUCAAUUUAAAAAGUAUUCAGCUCUAAUGGGACAUGAGGUACUAUUUCUCUUUCUUUUUUUUACACUGAGAAGUUUAAAGGUUUGGAAAGAACAACACCAGCUUGUACCGGAACAUGGAACCACCGUUCCACUUGACUCUUCUACUUUAAGGUAAAAAUAUCUUAUCAUUCUAUAAAUUUUUAAAUUUAAUAUUUGAUAUAAAUGCAAAAAUAGAGAAAAAGAAGGGUAGAUGUAAGAGAGUUAUUGGAUUUUAAAUUUGGAGGUUGGAGAUUUGGAGAGAGAUGGAAGGGAGGGUAGGUCUAGGACUAGGUCUAGCUCAUAGAUUAUUAUUUUUAUAGGUUCUAAAUAUAUAUUUAUAUUUAUAUUUAUUAUAAAUAUCUAUAUUUAUGUAUUUAUAUAUAAUAAUAGAGUACUCUGACUAUUAAUUAAGUGUAGCAUAAAUAUAAACAAUUAAAAUCAAAUUAAUAGUAUAAAAAAAUCCAUUAGUGCGCAGAAGUUGUUGAUCCAAAAAGCAAUAGCAUAAAAUAACAGUUUUUUCAAGUAUUCAAAAAUGGAACAUCAUAAAACAACAAGUUGUUUCAAGCAUUCUAAAAAGCAACAGCAUAAAAUAACAUGUAUUUUUCAUUAUUUCAAAAAACAACAUAAUAAAGUAACAGGUAUUGUCAAGCAUUCCAAAAAUCAACUAUAUAAAGUAACAUAUGAUUGCAAACAAAUGUUGCUAUUUCUAUUAUGGAUUCAUUUAUGGUUGUGUAUGGGUUGUUUAACAUAUGAGCAAAGUAUGGUUAGACAUUGGUUUGAAAUACAAUAAUUAUUUUUGUUGGUUCAGCAUGAUUGUGUUGUAUUAUUACUAAAAGUAGAAUUUGUCCUUUUAUGCUUUUGACCGAAUGAUAUAUAGUAUUGGUGCAAAUGUAUUAACUUUUUGGGAAUUUUUUUUGUAGGUUAUUUUACUGAUUUUUGCAAGAUUGCUUAAUUUAAAAAGUAUUCAGUUCAAAUGGGACAUGAGGUACUUCUUAUCUUUUUAGUUUUUUUAUACUUGUGUGUUUAAACUAAGUAAACAGGUUUGGAAAGAACAACACCAACUUGUACCGGAACAAGGAAACACUGCUCCACUUGACUCUACUACUUUAAGGUAAAAAUAUCUUAUCAUUCUAUGAAUUUCUAAAUUUAAUAUUUGAUAUAACUGCAAAAAUAGAGAAAAAGAAGGAUGGAUGUAAGAGAGUUAUUGGAUUUUGAAUGCACAGUAGUUGUUAAUCCAAAAAGCAACAGCAUAAAAUAACAAUUUUUUCAAGUAUUCAAAAAAGCAACAACAUAAAGUAACAAGUUGUUUCAAGCAUUUCCAAAAAGCAACAGUAUAAACUAACAGGUAUUCAAAAUGCAACAACAUAAAGUAAUAGAUAUUUUCAAGUAUUCCAAAAAUCAACUACAUAAAGUAAUAUGUGAUUGCAAACAAAUGUUGCUAUUUCUAUUAUGGAUUCGUUUAUGGUUAUGUAAUAUGUGCAAAGUGUGGUUAAGCACUGGUUUGAAACGCAAUAAUUAUUUGUUGGUUCAGAAUGAUUGUGUUGUGUUGAUUGUGGUUACUGAUUAAAACUACAUUUAAUAAUCAUUACUUGGUAAGAAUUGUGGAUGAGGUUUUAUGUAUUUAUUUUGUUUGUCUCAAUAUGGUUGUGUUGAAUGAAGAUUUUGUAAUGUAAAAUUCACUUUUAAUGUAAGGAGCACAUUAUUCCUGGGAUGGUUAAGUGAAAAUUUUAAAAUGUAGAAUCCAUUGUUAAUGUAAGCUGAAGAUUGGAAGUAUAUAGAUAUUUGAUUGGACAGAAUUGGUUCAUUGUUGAUAUUUGUAAGUAUGAAAAGCUUUUUGCACCGAAGGUAUUAUUACUAAAAGUAGAAUUUGUCCUUUUGUACUUUUGACUAAAUGAUAUAUAGAAUUGAUGAAAAUGUCUUAAUUUUUUGGAAAUUAUUUUGUAGGUUAUUAGUAGAUUUUUGUAAGAUUGCUCAUUUUAAAAAAUAUUCAGUUCCAAUGGGACAUGAGGU
RNAcentral lists this long non-coding RNA (9706 nucleotides) under Panax ginseng (ginseng). RNAcentral describes it as "long non-coding RNA (PGIN_LNC004663)". Lineage: Eukaryota; Viridiplantae; Streptophyta; Magnoliopsida; Apiales; Araliaceae. The record is from RNAcentral.